GAUGAACGCUGGCGGCGUGCCUAACACAUGCAAGUCGAACGAGGCCCUUUGUAUUCGUACGAAGGUGUCCUAGUGGCGAACGGGUGAGUAACACGUUGGUGACCUGCCCCGAAGCGGGGGAUAACCCUUGGAAACGAGGGCUAAUACCCCAUGUGCUCCAGAGAGUUAGAGGGCUUUGGAGUAAAGGAGUAAUCCACUUUGGGAGGGGCCUGCGGCCCAUCAGCUAGUUGGUAGGGUAAAAGCCUACCAAGGCUAUGACGGGUAGGGGACCUGAGAGGGUGGCCCCCCACACUGGCACUGAAACACGGGCCAGACACCUACGGGUGGCAGCAGUGGGGAAUAUUGCCCAAUGGACGAAAGUCUGAGGCAGCAACGCCGCGUGCGCGAUGAAGGCCUUCGGGUUGUAAAGCGCUUUUCUGGGGGAAGAG
RNAcentral lists this ribosomal RNA (428 nucleotides) under uncultured bacterium. RNAcentral's name for it is "bacterial SSU rRNA". It matches the Rfam family "Bacterial small subunit ribosomal RNA", at positions 28 to 449 of the family's 1533-position model. The record is from RNAcentral.